UUUGUGUUUUGUUUGCAGGGGGCUCGUCAUCCUUUCGCUCAAGCUGUGGGCAGGAACAUUGCCAACCCGACCGCCAUGUUGCUAACCGCUACAAACAUGCUGCGCCACCUCAACCUAGAGUUUCACUCUAAUCUGAUAUCUGACGCGGUGAAGAGAGUGAUUAAACAAGGAAAGGUGCGAACACGCGAUAUGGGAGGUUACGCCACCACUACGGAUUUCAUCAAGGCUAUAACUGACUGCUUGCAUACCCGCUAUGCACACUAGUCCUCCAUCCCUCGCUGUCAGAUUUCUCUUGUGUCCUUUCAUUGUCACAGCCACCGGAACGUUCACACCAGGCUGCAUAGUUUUAUCUGUUCUCAGUAUUAAGUGCUUCUUAGGGUGGGUGACAGUAACUUUAGCUGGGUCGUUUAUAAAAUCAUAGGAUGAAUGUUUUAUACAGAGCAGUGGCCGAAUGUAUAUUUGUAUAUAAAUGUGCCACCUCCUAAACCCCCAGCCAGUGGGACAUCGUUGUGUAGUAAGUUGGCAACACUGGUCUUAAUAGAAAUAUAGGUUUAUUUUAUUGCAUUAUUUUAUAAGAUCAAAUAAAGAUUCAUUCAUACUUUU
This is a long non-coding RNA of Bombina bombina (fire-bellied toad), 603 nucleotides long. RefSeq lists it as uncharacterized. The record is from RefSeq and is a predicted model, not a curated record. The transcript has 3 exons. Lineage: Eukaryota; Metazoa; Chordata; Amphibia; Anura; Bombinatoridae.